UAAAGGCAUGGUCCUGACCUUACUAUCCGCUAUUACCCAACUUACACAUGCAAGUAUCCGCGCCACCGUGAGUCACGCCCUCAGUCCCCCGCCCGGGGAUCAGGAGCGGGCAUCAGGCACACUUUUAAGCUAAGCCCAGGACGCCCAGCCAAGCCACGCCCUCAAGGGAAUUCAGCAGUGAUAAACAUUAAGCCAUGAGUGAAAACUCGACUUAGUUAGGGCUAAUAGGGCCGGUAAAACUCGUGCCAGCCACCGCGGUUAAACGAGAGGCCCUAGUUGAUAGUAUCACGGCGUAAAGGGUGGUUAAGGACUACAAUUUAAUAAAGCUAAACAGCCCUCCGGCCGUCAUACGCUUCCAGGCGCUAGAGACCCAUUAUACGAAAGUAGCUUUAAUAAACCCGACCCCACGAAAGCUGAGGGACAAACUGGGAUUAGAUACCCCACUAUGCUCAGCCAUAAACCCAGAUAUUUAACUACAACUACAUAUCCGCCCGGGUACUACGAGCAUUAGCUUGAAACCCAAAGGACCUGACGGUGCCUCAGACCCCCCUAGAGGAGCCUGUUCUAGAACCGAUAACCCCCGUUAAACCUCACCACUUCUGGCCGUCCCAGCCUAUAUACCACCGUCGCCAGCUUACCCUGUGAAGGAAUCAAAAGUAAGCAAAAUGGAAGAACCCCAGAACGUCAGGUCGAGGUGUAGCGCACGAAGUGGGAAGAAAUGGGCUACAUUUUCUUAUGAAGAAUACUACGGAUGUAUAACAUGAAAUAGUGCCUGAAGGAGGAUUUAGUAGUAAAAGGGAAAAAGAGUGUCCUUUUGAACCCGGCUCUGAAGCGCGUACACACCGCCCGUCACUCUCCCCGUCAAAAUGCAACAUAUAUACUUAAUGCCAAAGCACCGACAAGGGGAGGCAAGUCGUAACAUGGUAAGUGUACCGGAAGGUGCACUUGGCUAAAC
Molecule: non-coding RNA, 955 nt
Filed under: Rhodeus shitaiensis
Lineage: Eukaryota; Metazoa; Chordata; Actinopteri; Cypriniformes; Acheilognathidae
Description: 12S ribosomal RNA
Rfam family: Bacterial small subunit ribosomal RNA
Source: RNAcentral